RNAcentral lists this unclassified non-coding RNA (433 nucleotides) under soil metagenome. RNAcentral describes it as "partial contains 5.8S ribosomal RNA, internal transcribed spacer 2, and large subunit ribosomal RNA". The stretch from base 1 to 120 matches the Rfam family "5.8S ribosomal RNA", at positions 35 to 154 of the family's 154-position model. The record is from RNAcentral.
GAUGAAGAACGCAGCGAAAUGCGAUACGUAAUGUGAAUUGCAGAAUUCAGUGAAUCAUCGAAUCUUUGAACGCAUAUUGCGCUCUCUGGUAUUCCGGAGAGCAUGCUUGUUUGAGUAUCAGUAAACACCUCAACUUCCAUAUCUUUUUUGAAAUGGGAGUUGGACUUGAGUGAUCCCAACGCUUUUCCUCACCGAAAAGUGGCGGGUUACUUGAAAUGCAGGUGCAGCUGGACUUUUCUCUGAGCUAUAAGCAUAUCUAUUUAGUCUGCCUAAAAAACAGAUUAUUACCUUUGCUGCAGCUAACAUAAAGGAGAUUAGUUCUUGUGCUGACUGAUGCAGGAUUCACAAAGAGAGGCUUCGGCCGACUUUGUAAACUCGAUCUCAAAUCAAGUAAGACUACCCGCUGAACUUAAGCAUAUCAAUAAGCGGAGGA